GAUGAACGCUGGCGGCGUGCUUAACACAUGCAAGUCGAACGAUGAAGCCCAGCUUGCUGGGUGGAUUAGUGGCGAACGGGUGAGUAACACGUGAGUAACCUGCCCUUAACUCUGGGAUAAGCCUGGGAAACUGGGUCUAAUACCGGAUAGGAGCGUCCACCGCAUGGUGGGUGUUGAAAGAUUUAUUGGUUUUGGAUGGACUCGCGGCCUAUCAGCUUGUUGGUGAGGUAAUGGCUCACCAAGGCGACGACGGGUAGCCGGCCUGAGAGGGUGACCGGCCACACUGGGACUGAGACACGGCCCAGACUCCUACGGGAGGCAGCAGUGGGGAAUAUUGCACAAUGGGCGCAAGCCUGAUGCAGCGACGCCGCGUGAGGGAUGACGGCCUUCGGGUUGUAAACCUCUUUCAGUAGGGAAGAAGCGAAAGUGACGGUACCUGCAGAAGAAGCACCGGCUAACUACGUG
This 465-nucleotide ribosomal RNA is filed under the name uncultured bacterium. Its description in RNAcentral is "partial 16S ribosomal RNA". It matches the Rfam family "Bacterial small subunit ribosomal RNA", at positions 28 to 507 of the family's 1533-position model. The record is from RNAcentral.